RNAcentral lists this ribosomal RNA (256 nucleotides) under uncultured bacterium. RNAcentral's name for it is "partial 16S ribosomal RNA". It matches the Rfam family "Bacterial small subunit ribosomal RNA", at positions 334 to 586 of the family's 1533-position model. The record is from RNAcentral.
AAGGCCUACGGGAGGCAGCAGUGAGGAAUAUUGGUCAAUGGCCGAGAGGCUGAACCAGCUAAGUCGCGUGAGGGAUGACGGCCCUACGGGUUGGAAAACUCUUUUGUCGGGGAGCAAGACCCGCCUCGUGCAGGCGGAGCGAGAGUACCCGAAGAAAAAGCAUCGGCUAACUCCGUGCCAGCAGCCGCGGUAAUACGGAGGAUGCGAGCGUUAUCCGGAUUUAUUGGGGUUAAAGGGUGCGCAGGCGGAACAUCAA